GAUAGAACUUAGAAUCCCACAUUGGUUAGGUCGGUUAGGCCAUCGGGGAAUGGACUGGUGUUCUGCUUAUAUGUACUAGGUCAAUCCUCCGCUUAUGAGCUAGCUUUUGGUUUGCAGCACACAAUGAAGAAAUAAGGUGCAAUUCUUCAUAAAGAACACUUGAUUAUUUCUAUUUUUAGUGGAGCUCCAAUGGGAAGAUAGAAAAC
This 206-nucleotide unclassified non-coding RNA is filed under the name Hevea brasiliensis (rubber tree). The record is from RNAcentral. Lineage: Eukaryota; Viridiplantae; Streptophyta; Magnoliopsida; Malpighiales; Euphorbiaceae.